This 450-nucleotide ribosomal RNA is filed under the name uncultured bacterium. Its description in RNAcentral is "bacterial SSU rRNA". It matches the Rfam family "Bacterial small subunit ribosomal RNA", at positions 328 to 793 of the family's 1533-position model. The record is from RNAcentral.
CUCUUUGACUCCUACGGGAGGCAGCAGUGGGGAAUAUUGCACAAUGGGCGCAAGCCUGAUGCAGCAACGCCGUGUGAGUGAAGAAGGUUUUCGGAUCGUAAAACUCUGUCCUAAGGGAAGAAACAAAUGACGGUACCUUAGGAGGAAGCCCCGGCUAACUACGUGCCAGCAGCCGCGGUAAUACGUAGGGGGCAAGCGUUAUCCGGAAUCACUGGGCGUAAAGGGUGCGUAGGCGGCUUAGCAAGCCAGGGGUGAAAGGCAUUGGCUCAACCAAUGUAAGCCUUUGGAACUGUUAAGCUUGAGUGCAGGAGAGGUAAGUGGAAUUCCUAGUGUAGAGGUGAAAUUCGUAGAUAUUAGGAGGAACACCAGUGGCGAAGGCGACUUACUGGACUGUAACUGACGCUGAUGCACGAAAGCGUGGGUAGCGAACAGGAUUAGAUACCCUGGUAG